Non-coding RNA from Salvelinus sp. IW2-2015, 770 nucleotides. NCBI's taxonomy places the organism in Eukaryota, Metazoa, Chordata, Actinopteri, Salmoniformes, Salmonidae. The record is from RefSeq and is a predicted model, not a curated record.
UCAGCAGGAGGAUCAUAGAUCCAUUCAGGUCAGCAGGAGGAUCAGCCAAUUAAUUAUACUACUGCGUGAACAUUCUGUAACUGUGUAGGUGGCAGUAAAUCACCAACCUUGUCUUUGUAUCUGUUUAGAUUAAACACACUGCAGCACAGUAUGCAGCUACACUCCAGCACAGUAGGUGGUGGUAUGAUCCUAUUCAGUUUAUUUAUGAAGUGUCACUACAGUCAUAGAAGUAAAGAAAACCCGCAAUGGCUCUGGCCAUGUUGUCACAGAAGUUGAAGAUAGAAGAUGAGCUGUCUAGUACAUCUCUAUGUAUGGGGUGAGAGGCUAACCUUGUUAUUGUUUCUUUCCCUACACACCCAAUUUGAUGGAUGUGACACCUCUGUCUAAGGCCAACCACGCUGGAGGACCACUCGAUGCAAUGCCAAGUGGCCUCGGUGUUCAAACACCGCAACUAAUGAAGCAACGUUUAUGCACCAAUGCUAACAGGGUGUUCAUUUAAAAAGGACGUGCAUUUAAAUUGUAUCACAAAUAUUUAUGGUGAGAGGUGUCAGGACUUUUGGGGCAAAACAUGGGUGGAUCACUGUUUAUAAAUUGUAUGCAUCUUUGUAAGUUGCUCUCUAUAGUUUAUUGUGAUGUUUAUGAAAUGUAUUUUCUCUCUAGGAAUGUGCACCUGGAGGGGAGAUGAUUGACCAGCAGAUGCCAGUGUAUGACCAGAGCAAGGAGAAACGGAACAUCCUUCGCAUCAGAGACGAGAUCAAAAAAACCAGAAG